GCUGUCCUGGCUGUGUGCUCCUGUGUAUGGAUUUAGAUGUGACAGAAACGUCCUGGUUUUGGGGUGACCACACCGAGAAAAUAAAUCAUCUGCCUCCCAAAAUGAGCAAUGCCUGACUGAAGUUUUUCUGGUGUUACAAACUGAUCCAGAAGUUCACCUUGAGCCAAGAACGCAGUAGCAUCAUACUGGAAAUCAUGGGAAGAGUGAGACAAUGAAUCCCAGAGCACAAGACCCUGUGUCAGUGAGUGAAGAAGCAGCCCGUGAUGUGUAAGCAAAGGGGCAAAGCAGCGUCUCACAGGGAAGGUGAGUUGUCUCUUGCAGGGCUGCUGCAGAGCUGUGCAGGGAGUGGGUUCCCACUAGGGUGCGCUAGGGCAGUUAAAAUGGGGAUGGUGUCCUUCUGGGAUCAGAAUGGAAGCAGUUAAGAUGCCU
Molecule: long non-coding RNA, 429 nt
Filed under: Gallus gallus (chicken)
Lineage: Eukaryota; Metazoa; Chordata; Aves; Galliformes; Phasianidae
Description: lncRNA (ENSGALG00010015582.1)
Source: RNAcentral